This 150-nucleotide unclassified non-coding RNA is filed under the name uncultured Phaeosphaeriaceae. RNAcentral's name for it is "sequence contains ITS2". Lineage: Eukaryota; Fungi; Ascomycota; Dothideomycetes; Pleosporales; Phaeosphaeriaceae. The record is from RNAcentral.
GUACCCUCAAGCUUUGCUUGGUGUUGGGCGUCUUGUCUGUGUUAUCAGACUCGCCUUAAAGUAAUUGGCAGCCAGUGUUUUUGGUAGUAAGCGCAGCACAAUUUGCGUCUUGGUCCCUAAACAGUGGCAUCCACAAAGCCUCUUUCUCAC